RNAcentral lists this ribosomal RNA (985 nucleotides) under Microbacterium sp. JNVU RM11. Its description in RNAcentral is "bacterial SSU rRNA". It matches the Rfam family "Bacterial small subunit ribosomal RNA", at positions 402 to 1395 of the family's 1533-position model. The record is from RNAcentral. Lineage: Bacteria; Bacillati; Actinomycetota; Actinomycetes; Micrococcales; Microbacteriaceae.
UGAGGGAUGACGGCCUUCGGGUUGUAAACCUCUUUUGGCAAGGAAGAAGCCUUCGGGUGACGGUACUUGCAGAAAAAGCGCCGGCUAACUACGUGCCAGCAGCCGCGGUAAUACGUAGGGCGCAAGCGUUAUCCGGAAUUAUUGGGCGUAAAGAGCUCGUAGGCGGUUUGUCGCGUCUGCUGUGAAAUCCCGAGGCUCAACCUCGGGCCUGCAGUGGGUACGGGCAGACUAGAGUGCGGUAGGGGAGAUUGGAAUUCCUGGUGUAGCGGUGGAAUGCGCAGAUAUCAGGAGGAACACCGAUGGCGAAGGCAGAUCUCUGGGCCGUAACUGACGCUGAGGAGCGAAAGGGUGGGGAGCAAACAGGCUUAGAUACCCUGGUAGUCCACCCCGUAAACGUUGGGAACUAGUUGUGGGGUCCUUUCCACGGAUUCCGUGACGCAGCUAACGCAUUAAGUUCCCCGCCUGGGGAGUACGGCCGCAAGGCUAAAACUCAAAGGAAUUGACGGGGACCCGCACAAGCGGCGGAGCAUGCGGAUUAAUUCGAUGCAACGCGAAGAACCUUACCAAGGCUUGACAUACACCGGAACGCCCUAGAAAUAGGGAACUCUUUGGACACUGGUGUACAGGUGGUGCAUGGUUGUCGUCAGCUCGUGUCGUGAGAUGUUGGGUUAAGUCCCGCAACGAGCGCAACCCUCGUUCUAUGUUGCCAGCACGUUAUGGUGGGAACUCAUGGGAUACUGCCGGGGUCAACUCGGAGGAAGGUGGGGAUGACGUCAAAUCAUCAUGCCCCUUAUGUCUUGGGCUUCACGCAUGCUACAAUGGCCGGUACAAAGGGCUGCAAUACCGUGAGGUGGAGCGAAUCCCAAAAAGCCGGUCCCAGUUCGGAUUGAGGUCUGCAACUCGACCUCAUGAAGUCGGAGUCGCUAGUAAUCGCAGAUCAGCAACGCUGCGGUGAAUACGUUCCCGGGUCUUGUACACACCGCCC